GUCGUAACAAGGUUUCCGUAGGUGAACCUGCGGAAGGAUCAUUACCACACCUCUUUUCUUGGUCUAGUGUCUUACUAGUUCACGCUAGUAUAGUCAUUAGACCUAUGAAAAACAAGAGAAAGAUGCGGGUCUUAAAAACACCCAAGUCCGACUUUUGCGUCCCACGUAACCGUAUUAAAACUUGUGGUGUCUUCGGAUGCCCAUUUUUAACACAAACAAAUUACAUUUCAAAUGUACUGAUUAUGAUUUUCAAUAAUUAGAAGUUAGCGAGUUUACUCUCCCUAAUGACUAUACAAAUUAAUGAAAAAAACACUUUCAGCAACGGAUGUCUUGGCUCCCAU
Molecule: unclassified non-coding RNA, 341 nt
Filed under: fungal sp.
Lineage: Eukaryota; Fungi
Description: partial internal transcribed spacer region
Rfam family: Eukaryotic small subunit ribosomal RNA (bases 1-44)
Source: RNAcentral